Long non-coding RNA from Dama dama (fallow deer), 726 nucleotides. RefSeq lists it as uncharacterized. The transcript is spliced from 3 exons. NCBI's taxonomy places the organism in Eukaryota, Metazoa, Chordata, Mammalia, Artiodactyla, Cervidae. The record is from RefSeq and is a predicted model, not a curated record.
GGGUGCUGGGCUCUGGAACUCAGCAGCCAACAUGAGGUGGCAUCCCUAUCUUCUGCUGGACAAGGAUGACAAAGCCAGAGUAUCCUUAAUAUCCAUUUUAGAUUUCCGCCCCUGGGAGGUGGCAAAGGGCCAUGUCGUAGAGGCAAAGCUGACUCACCACCACCAAACACGUCAUUUCCCUGUGGGCGCCCAGGAAGGUACCUUUUCCCACAUGCAUUGCAGUAGGUAGGACCGUAUGACUGGAUUUGACCAGUAGAAUGUGGGUAGAAGUCACACAUGCCGCUUUUAGACCUGAUUCUUAAAGCCUCCUACAUAAUUUUCCAUGCUCCCUCAUCCAGCAUCUAGGGACCAGAUGCAGAGGCUCCAAAAGGGGACUUUCAGGGGACAGCAGAGUUGCCAGAAUUUACCAGAAGAUGAGAAGACUGAGGCUCAGCAAUGUCUGCCAAUAAGUGGAAGAGUUUGGAUUCGAACCCCAGUCUACCUGAUUACAAAGUGGAAGUUCUCAAUCCCUCCUCCCUCCUCCCUGAUCUACCCUGUGACAACCACGAGCUUCUAGUGGAAGAUUCAAUAAAAGAACAAGGCAUUAAACUCAACAAACGGAUGUCUGACUUCAGGUUUCCUACCAGUCUUUCCUGCAUACCUCCUUCACUCAAAGAACACCUCCAUCUUCUCACCUGUAGAACUGGGCUAAUUUUCAGUGCAACAUAAUUUUCAGUGAAACAUCAA